RNAcentral lists this ribosomal RNA (301 nucleotides) under uncultured bacterium. Its description in RNAcentral is "partial 16S ribosomal RNA". It matches the Rfam family "Bacterial small subunit ribosomal RNA", at positions 509 to 809 of the family's 1533-position model. The record is from RNAcentral.
CAGUAGCCACGGUAAUACGUAGGUGGCAAGCGUUGUCCGGAAUUAUUGGGCGUAAAGGGCUCGCAGGCGGUUUCUUAAGUCUGAUGUGAAAGCCCCCGGCUCAACCGGGGAGGGUCAUUGGAAACUGGGAAACUUGAGUGCAGAAGAGGAGAGUGGAAUUCCACGUGUAGCGGUGAAAUGCGUAGAGAUGUGGAGGAACACCAGUGGCGAAGGCGACUCUCUGGUCUGUAACUGACGCUGAGGAGCGAAAGCGUGGGGAGCGAACAGGAUUAGAUACCCCUGUAGUCCCUGUCUCUUAUAU